This 404-nucleotide ribosomal RNA is filed under the name Mucor irregularis. Its description in RNAcentral is "partial small subunit ribosomal RNA". It matches the Rfam family "Eukaryotic small subunit ribosomal RNA", at positions 30 to 432 of the family's 1831-position model. The record is from RNAcentral. Lineage: Eukaryota; Fungi; Mucoromycota; Mucoromycetes; Mucorales; Mucoraceae.
GCUUGUCUCAAAGAUUAAGCCAUGCAUGUCUCAGCAUAAGCUUCAACACGGUGAAACUGCAAAUGGCUCAUUAAAGCAGUUACAAUUUAUUUGAUGGUCACUGUUACAUGGAUAACUGUGGUAAUUCUAGAGCUAAUACAUGCAUCAAAACCUGACUCUUGGGAAGGGUUGUGUUUAUUAGAUAAAGCCAACGCUGGGUAAAACCAGUUUCCCUUGGUGAUUCAUAAUAAUUAAGCGGAUCGCAUGGCCUUGUGCUAGCGACAGUCCACUCGAUUUUCUGCCCUAUCAUGGUUGAGAUUGUAAGAUAGAGGCUUACAAUGCCUACAACGGGUAACGGGGAAUUAGGGUUCGAUUCCGGAGAGGGAGCCUGAGAAACGGCUACCACAUCCAAGGAAGGCAGCAGG